UCGUAUCUCUGGCGCGUGCGGGUGCGCCCUGCUCCGGUCCCUCGGGCCGUGCAGCGGGCCGUUUGCCGCGUCCAACCUUCACAAACCCACUGUGCACCAUUCACGGCGGAGGGCUGCUGGCGAAAGCCGGCGUCCGAAGUCGCAUAUAACAAACCCCUAAAAGUUCAAAAGAAUGAAACGCGACCUCGUUGUCGCCUAAACACAUAA
RNAcentral lists this unclassified non-coding RNA (207 nucleotides) under uncultured Trechisporales. RNAcentral's name for it is "sequence contains ITS1". The record is from RNAcentral. Lineage: Eukaryota; Fungi; Basidiomycota; Agaricomycetes; Trechisporales.